This is a long non-coding RNA of Amblyraja radiata (thorny skate), 501 nucleotides long. RefSeq lists it as uncharacterized. NCBI's taxonomy places the organism in Eukaryota, Metazoa, Chordata, Chondrichthyes, Rajiformes, Rajidae. The record is from RefSeq and is a predicted model, not a curated record. The transcript is spliced from 3 exons.
GUGGCGCGAGCGGCGGCCGUUCGUCGUGUCGGGGAACACGAGACAGCGGACGGCCAAUGGGCCCGCGCUCCGCCCGGUGGGGCGAUGCGGCGUCACGGCCGGUCGUCAUGGUGACGCGGCCUUAGUCAGAGCCGCCCGCCCGAAGCCUGAGGUCUCGGUGAGGCUUCGUAUAUCCUUGUGGUAAGGAUGUAUAUUACAAUCAAAGAGCACAGGAAAAGGUCUUCAUAAUACAAGAAUAUGAACAUCGCUGGAUAUGUCAGUGUUUAUCAUCUAUUCCCAAUUGCCCCUGAAGUGAGAAGGCAGAUAAGAGUCAACCUCUUGCCACAAUAGAUAAGAACAGUGGAUUUUCUUCCCUAAAGCACAUUGGUGAAGCAGGUGGGUUUUUCUGACAAUCCAAACAUUUUAUGAUUAAUGUUACUGAAACUAGCUUUUGUUUUAGAUAUUUAAAAUUUCCUUAUUUAAUUAAACUUAUAUUCCCCAGUUGCCAAUUUGCGAUUUAAA